This 429-nucleotide ribosomal RNA is filed under the name Chloroflexota bacterium. RNAcentral describes it as "Chloroflexi bacterium partial 16S ribosomal RNA". It matches the Rfam family "Bacterial small subunit ribosomal RNA", at positions 355 to 776 of the family's 1533-position model. Lineage: Bacteria; Bacillati; Chloroflexota. The record is from RNAcentral.
UGGGGAAUAUUGCACAAUGGGCGCAAGCCUGAUGCAGCCAUGCCGCGUGUGUGAAGAAGGCCUUCGGGUUGUAAAGCACUUUCAGCGGGGAGGAAGGCGUUAAGGUUAAUAACCUUGGCGAUUGACGUUACCCGCAGAAGAAGCACCGGCUAACUCCGUGCCAGCAGCCGCGGUAAUACGGAGGGUGCAAGCGUUAAUCGGAAUUACUGGGCGUAAAGCGCACGCAGGCGGUCUGUCAAGUCGGAUGUGAAAUCCCCGGGCUCAACCUGGGAACUGCAUCUGAUACUGGCAAGCGUGAGUCUCGUAGAGGGGGGUAGAAUUCCAGGUGUAGCGGUGAAAUGCGUAGAGAUCUGGAGGAAUACCGAUGGCGAAGGCGGCCCCCUGGACGAAGACUGACGCUCAGGUGCGAAAGCGUGGGGAGCAAACAGG